GUGGGGAAUAUUGGACAAUGGGGGCAACCCUGAUCCAGCCAUGCCGCGUGAGUGAUGAAGGCCUUCGGGUUGUAAAGCUCUUUUGGUGGGGACGAUGAUGACGGUACCCACAGAAUAAGCUCCGGCUAACUUCGUGCCAGCAGCCGCGGUAAUACGAAGGGAGCUAGCGUUGUUCGGAAUUACUGGGCGUAAAGGGCGCGUAGGCGGUCAGGCAAGUCAGGUGUGAAAGCCCUGGGCUCAACCCGGGAAUUGCGCUUGAUACUACUUGGCUUGAAUUCGGGAGAGGUUGGUGGAAUUCCCAGUGUAGAGGUGAAAUUCGUAGAGAUUGGGAAGAACACCCGUGGCGAAGGCGGCCAACUGGACCGACAUUGACGCUGAGGCGCGAAAGCGUGGGGAGCAAACAGGAUUAGAAACCCUGGUAGUCC
RNAcentral lists this ribosomal RNA (425 nucleotides) under uncultured bacterium. RNAcentral's name for it is "partial 16S ribosomal RNA". It matches the Rfam family "Bacterial small subunit ribosomal RNA", at positions 354 to 796 of the family's 1533-position model. The record is from RNAcentral.